UAAACGACUCUCGGCAACGGAUAUCUCGGCUCACGCAUCGAUGAAGAACGUAGCAAAAUGCGAUACUUGGUGUGAAUUGCAGAAUCCCGUGAACCAUCGAGUUUUUGAACGCAAGUUGCGCCCGAAGCCACCCGGCUGAGGGCACGUCUGCCUGGGCGUCACGC
RNAcentral lists this ribosomal RNA (164 nucleotides) under Koanophyllon ayapanoides. Its description in RNAcentral is "5.8S ribosomal RNA". It matches the Rfam family "5.8S ribosomal RNA". From Rfam's summary of the family: 5.8S ribosomal RNA (5.8S rRNA) is a component of the large subunit of the eukaryotic ribosome. It is transcribed by RNA polymerase I as part of the 45S precursor that also contains 18S and 28S rRNA. Functionally, it is thought that 5.8S rRNA may be involved in ribosome translocation. The record is from RNAcentral. Lineage: Eukaryota; Viridiplantae; Streptophyta; Magnoliopsida; Asterales; Asteraceae.